AUGUACAUCCAAAUGAAGAAAAGUUUUUGUCUAAUAAUUUAUCUCAUUUUGUACCUUCAAAAUCAAUUGAAGCACAAACAACAUCAUCUUAUAGCAACUAACAAACGAAUUUUGAUUAUUUCUCAUCCAACUUCUACUGAUUGAUACUCUUGACACAGAACUAUUUCGUCGUGAUCAUGGAUUGAGGGACUCUAUAUUAACACCAAUGUUGGUCUUAGUUGAAUUUUGGAGAUGACCAAUGGGGACAAUUUUGGACAAUCUUUUUUGAUUUAUGAUGUUAAUGCAGAAAUAUGAUACUACUGAAAGAAACUAAACCGUUGUAGUGUUUUAGUCCCAAGAUAUUUUCCAUUUUCAAAGUCUGCUAUUAAAGUAUUCAACAACGUUUCUUCCGGCCACCUAUUAUUAGUGACCUUUUCUCCAUCGGUUUAGCUACAAGAAAUAGCCUAAAAUUCGGAAAGCAUCAUUUACAUCGUCUGUGAAGUGGGCUGCACAGUGCAGUUUUUCUUGUCGAUGUGUGCAAUUCUUAUGAAUAAACAGAAAAUUCUGCCUUUUCUGCCCAUCUACCCAUGGACUUGUCAGGUCUCUAUCUUAACACUGAGAAUUUAAGUAGCAAGAGGCUGUCAGAACUCUUACCGUGAGAUGUCAGCACAGAUCAACAACACAAACAUCGGAGGAAGCACACGAGAAGAGCACUCCAACAGUUUAUCCUCCACCAAACCCACCACAGGACUUGGCAGAAGGAAGAGAGAGAGAGAG
This 756-nucleotide long non-coding RNA is filed under the name Spirodela polyrhiza (greater duckweed). RNAcentral's name for it is "long non-coding RNA (SPOL_LNC002220)". Lineage: Eukaryota; Viridiplantae; Streptophyta; Magnoliopsida; Alismatales; Araceae. The record is from RNAcentral.